ACUACGGGGGGCAGCAGUGGGGAAUAUUGCACAAUGGGGGAAACCCUGAUGCAGCGACGCCGCGUGAGUGAAGAAGGAUUUCGGGAUGUAAAGCUCUAUCAGCAGGGAAGAAAAUGACGGUACCUGACUAAGAAGCCCCGGCUAACUACGUGCCAGCAGCCGCGGUAAUACGUAGGGGGCAAGCGUUAUCCGGAUUUACUGGGUGUACAGGGAGCGUAGGCGGCGCGUCAAGGCUGACGUGAAAGGCAGGGGCUUAACCCCUGAACUGCUUUGGAAACUGCCAUGCUAGAGUGCUGGAGGGGUCAGUGGACUUCCUAGUGUAGCGGUGAACUGCGUAGCUAUUAGGAGGAACACCAGUGGCGAAGGCGGCUUACUGGACAGUAACUGACGUUGAGGCUCGAAAGCGUGGGGAGCAAACAGGAUUAGAUACCCGUGUAGUC
Molecule: ribosomal RNA, 440 nt
Filed under: uncultured bacterium
Lineage: Bacteria
Description: partial 16S ribosomal RNA
Rfam family: Bacterial small subunit ribosomal RNA
Source: RNAcentral